CAUUAAUACCUUAAUUUAUAUUUUGUUUACAAUAAAUUAUUUAAAUAUAAUAAAAUUUUUAGUUCUUUUUGGUCCUUUCGUACUAAAAAAGACAACCUAACAAUUUAAAAGAUAGAAACCAACCUGGCUCACGCCGGUCUGAACUCAGAUCAUGUAAAAUUUUAAAAAUCGAACAGAUUUACCUACUAAAGCUUCUACACCUUAAGGUUAUUUUAAUCCAACAUCGAGGUCGCAAACUCACUUUUUAAUAAGAACUCUCUAAGCAAAUUACGCUGUUAUCCCUGUGGUAACUAUAAUAAAAGCAAUAUAAAUUUAUUGGUUACUUUUUACAAAUAAACUUAAUACUCUAAGGAAGUUAUUAAAUUAUAAUUUUAUUCCUUAAUCACCCCAACUAAAAUUUAUUUUCUUAUUAAUACUUCAACUAUUAAUAAUAUAAAAAUUUAAGCUCAACAGGGUCUUCUCGUCCCUUUAAAAAAUUCAAGCUUUUUCACUUUAAAAAUCAAUUUCUAAUAAAUAAUAUAGAGACAGAUAAACCUUCGUCAAACCAUUCAUUCUAGCCUCAAUUUAUAAGGCAAACUAUUAUGCUACCUUAGUACAGUUAAAAUACCGCAGCUGUUAAAAAUCAUCACCGAGCAGGCCCGACUCUUUAUUUAUAAAUAAUACAAAGAGACAUGUUUUUGAUAAACAGGCGAGAUUAUUAUUUGCCAAAUUCCUUUAUAUUAUUUAAUUAAUUAUUUUAUUUUAAUUAUUCACAUUUAAAUAAAUAUAAAUAAAUUACUCCAAUUUUCCAACUUAUACUCAUAUUAACAUUAUAUAUAUUUAAAUUUAAUUUAUAAACAUUUAUAGUUAUUUAUACAACCUGAAUUUAUAUACUUAUCUAUAAUUUUAUUAUUACUUUUAAAGAAAAACAUUAUUAAUUCUACUUAAAUCAACUAUAAUUAUAUACAACCUUCUAUAAAAUUAUAUGAAGCUUACCCCCAUAUAAUACACUAAUAUUAAAUUAAUCAAACAUUAUAUUAAUAUUAUAAUACUUAAAUAUUGUAAACUAAUAAACUAGCUAUCAUAAAAAUCGAUUAAUAUAUCAUUACCACUUAAUAUUAAUUAUAUGACUAUACAACGUCAACACAUAUAAAUCUAUCAAGUAAAUCCUUUUAUUUCGAGAUUAUAUUAUAAAUUUAAUUUAUAUCAUCAACCCAUUAUACAAAAGGUACGAGAAUCAAACUCUACUAUAAAUUAAAUAUAUUAUUUUCCUUUACAGUACUUUCUAUUAUUAACAAUGAUUCUAUACUUUUUAUACUACAUAAUUAAAUAAUUUAAAUUAUUUAAACUCUUUAUUAUUUGAUAUAUACAUAUAUCUAAUUAACCUAUAAUUAUUUUUAUACGCCAGGAACAGCUUCCACUACCCCUACUAUGUUACGACUUAUCUUACUUUCCAGCAAGAGCGACGGGCGAUAUGUACGCAUUACAAAACCUAAUUCAUAAUAACACACUAUUUUAUUUAUUACUACCAAGUCCAACUUCAAAAACUAAUUACAUAGUCUAUAUCCGCACUCAAAAAUUAUAAAUUGUAGCUCAUUUAAUAAACCUUUUUUAUAAGCUGCAUUUUGACUUAUCAUCACAACUAUUAAUUAUUAUGUUUUUAAAAUUUUACAAAAUAAACUGACGACAGCAAUAUACAAACUGUUAAACAAUUCAAAAAAAAGUAAGUAUAAAAUGAGGAUUAUCAAUUUAAUAAACAAGCUCCCCUGGAAGGAUUUGUAACACCGCCAAGUCUUUUAAAUUUCAAACAUAGAUUACUCUUAAUAAAUAAAAUUAUGUCUAUACUACUUUAGUUUAAAUAUAAAUUUUAAGGUAAAGAAUAAUAGGGUAUCUAAUCCUAGUUUUUCUUCUUACUUUCAAAGAAUAUAAUUAAUAGGGUGAUAAAAAUAAUAUUAAUAAUUAAAUUUUACUUACAAUUUAUAUUAACCUCAUUUACCCUACCUAUAUUAUAAUAUAUUACUUUAUUUUAUACUAUAUUAAUAUAAAUUUAAAGUAUUGGUAUAACCGCAGCGGCUGGCACCAAUUUAACCACUUUUAAUAACUACAUUAACUAUAUCAAAUUUCCAUUCAUUGUAUAAAUAUAAAUACUGCGUAGCUUAUAUAUUAACCAUCUUAAUAAAAUAUUAACAUAAUAAUAAUCUAUAUUUAAAUAAUAUUAAACUAAAUUAAAUAAAAAUUAAAUUUAAGCAAAACAAUAUAAAUUUAAACUUAACAUGUAUUAAUUUAAUAAUAAUUUAUAUUAUAACCAAAACCAAGCCAAUUAUAUAUGAAAUGAUAUAUCAUAUACGAUUUCGGCUCGUAAAUUAGGUAUUAUUACCCUUAUAUUUUAAAUGAUAAAAAUAAGAAUUAAAAAUAUAAUUAUAUAACAAUUAAAUGAUAAUAUAAGCCAAUGUUCUAAUAAAAAAAAUAAAAUUUUAUUAAAAUUAAAAACUCCUUGUGCUCCUAUAAUUUCAAAUCACCCUAUAUCUAUAACUUUAAGGCUUAUAUUACUCACAUUUUUAAAUCUUAAUAAUAAAGGUCUACAUAAAAAUCUAGAUAAAAAUCAUAUUCUCCUAUUAACAUAUUUUAUUCUACCUUUAUUAAUUCUGAUGUCCCCUGUACUUCAUGACCUAAAAGAAAUUAAUAAAGAAAAAACAAUUAAAAAAAGAGUAAAUAAUUUUAAUAUAAUAGGUAAAUAAAAAUCUAUACUAAAUAAAAUAAACAUUUUGUUAAAUAAAAAUCCACUCCAUAUAGCCCCACAAACCAGCAAUGAUAUAGGAACUAUUAUUUUUAUAUCAUUAUCCUUUACCCUGCAAUAACUUUCAGAAUUUUCACUACCUCAGAUAAUAAAUAUAGAAAAACGUAUUCUAUAUAAUACCGUUAAACAUAAACCAAAAGUACCUAUAAAUAAUAUAAAAAUAUUUAUUCUACCAAUUAUUAAUCUUUCAAUAAUUAAAUCCUUUGAGUAAAAUCCAGCUAAAAAAGGAAAACCACAUAAAGCUAUAUUAGAAAUGUUUAAAAAUAUACAAGUAAUUGGUAAUAUUUUAGACACAUUAUUAAUUUGACGUAUGUCUUGUUUCCCGCUAUAACAAUGAAUAAUAUUACCCCCACAUAUAAAUAAUAAUGCUUUAAACAAAGCAUGUGUAUAUAAAUGAAAUAAAGCUAAUAUAGGUAUACUUAACCUUAAAGAUAUUAUUAUUACACCUAACUGACUCAAUGUCGAUAAAGCAAUAAUCUUCUUCAUAUCAUAUUCAUAUAAAGCACAAACUCCUGAUAUAAUAGUUGUUAUAAUAGAGAUAUAUAAUAUAAAACUAUUAAACCAGUAAUAAUUAUUUAAAUAAUUAAAAAAUCGAAUAAAUAAAAAAAUACCAGCAGUAACUAGUGUAGAAGAAUGAACUAAAGCAGAAACAGGAGUAGGAGCGGCUAUAGCAGCUGGUAACCAUCUACUAAAAGGUAUUUGGGCCCUUUUUGUUAUACCAGCAAUCAUAAUAAAAAAAUUAACUACUUCAAAUAUUAUAAAAUCUCAUAUACACAAUAUAUUUCAAUGACCUAAAACAACUAAAAUAGAAAUUGAACCUAAAAUAAAACAAUCCCCUACACGAUUUAUUAAUACAGUUAAUAUUCCAGCAGAUAAAGAUUUAUUAUUUUGGUAAUAAAUUACCAAACAAAAUGAGACUAACCCUAAGCCAUCUCAUCCUAAUAAUAAAGAAAUUAAUCUAGGAAUAAAAAUUAAAAAAUUUAUAGAUAUCACAAAUAAUAUUACAACCAAAACAAACCGAUUUAAAUUAGGGUCCCCCUCUAUAUAAGUUAUAGUAAAAAUUAUUACGCACCCAGAAAUAAAACAAACUAAUCCUCUAAAUCUACAUCUUAUUCAAUCAAUAAUAAAAUCAAAUUCAAUAAAUCCCCUUAUACACCUAACUAUCUCCCACCUAAAUAAUAAACCCAAAUUAUUUAAACAUAAAUAAACAGUUAUUAACCUUAUUAAUAUAAAUCAACUAAACAAAAUUAUUCUAAAAAAACACUCUAUACCAAUAACUCUUAACAUA
This 4064-nucleotide transfer RNA is filed under the name Sepiadarium kochi. RNAcentral describes it as "tRNA-Glu". Lineage: Eukaryota; Metazoa; Mollusca; Cephalopoda; Sepiida; Sepiadariidae. The record is from RNAcentral.